GUCGCCGGAGAUGGAAACGGUAUGGUGGCAGCUGGGAACUCCGGGAAGCCGGCAACUCCGGCUGUUGUUUCAGUGACGCCGAGCCAGAGGCUUAGGCUGAACCCUAAUAAGGAUCAUAAGCCGGAGAGCUAUGAGGAUCUGCAAUUGGAUUUUAGUCCUUCGGUUUUUAGCUCGCUGGAGCGUUACUUGCCGCCGAGUAUGCUUGGUAUGAGUAGAGAUGAUAAGAUGAAGUUCAUGAGGGAAAUUCUAUUGAAGUACUUGCCUCAUGGAGAGGGAACCAGGGUUCAAAGACAUAGAGAAUACAGGCAGAAGAUAAUAUCAAAUUAUCAGCCUUUAAAUAGAGAAUUGUACACAAUGCACCCNNNNNNUUCUCCCUUCCUUUAUAAAGGCAAUCAGUGAUAACACAGAGGAGAGUUUUAGAAGUAUAAUGUCUGAACCCUCUCCCGGAGUGUUUACAUUCGAAAUGCUUCAGCCACAAUUCUGUAACUUACUAUUAUCAGAGGUGGAAAAUUUUGAGAAGUGGGUUAAUGAUGCAAAAUUUCGAAUCAUGCGACCAAACACAAUGAACAAAUAUGGUGCUGUACUUGAUGAUUUUGGUCUUGAAACCAUGCUUGACAAGCUUAUGGAUGGCUUUGUUCGCCCUAUAUCUAAAGUUUUCUUUCCUGAAGUGGGUGGAUCAACCCUGGAUUCUCAUCAUGGUUUUGUUGUUGAAUAUGGUAAAGAUAGGGAUGUUGACUUGGGCUUUCAUGUG
This 751-nucleotide unclassified non-coding RNA is filed under the name Hevea brasiliensis (rubber tree). Lineage: Eukaryota; Viridiplantae; Streptophyta; Magnoliopsida; Malpighiales; Euphorbiaceae. The record is from RNAcentral.